CAGCCGCCGCGGUAAUACGUAGGUGGCAAGCGUUGUCCGGAAUCAUUGGGCGUAAAGGGCUCGCAGGCGGUUUCUUAAGUCUGAUGUGAAAGCCCCCGGCUCAACCGGGGAGGGUCAUUGGAAACUGGGAAACUUGAGUGCAGAAGAGGAGAGUGGAAUUCCACGUGUAGCGGUGAAAUGCGUAGAGAUGUGGAGGAACACCAGUGGCGAAGGCGACUCUCUGGUCUGUAACUGACGCUGAGGAGCGAAAGCGUGGGGAGCGAACAGGAUUAGAUACCCCUGUAGUCCCUGUCUCUUAUAC
Molecule: ribosomal RNA, 301 nt
Filed under: uncultured bacterium
Lineage: Bacteria
Description: partial 16S ribosomal RNA
Rfam family: Bacterial small subunit ribosomal RNA
Source: RNAcentral